This 305-nucleotide ribosomal RNA is filed under the name uncultured bacterium. Its description in RNAcentral is "bacterial SSU rRNA". It matches the Rfam family "Bacterial small subunit ribosomal RNA", at positions 334 to 656 of the family's 1533-position model. The record is from RNAcentral.
UUUCCCUACGGGGGGCAGCAGUGGGGAAUAUUGGACAAUGGGGGAAGCCCUGAUCCAGCGACGCCGCGUGAGUGAAGAAGUAUUUCGGUACGUAAAGCUCUAUCAGCAGGAAAGAAAAUGACGGUACCUGACUAAGAAGCCCCGGCUAACUACGUGCCAGCAGCCGCGGUAAUACGUAGGGGGCAAGCGUUAUCCGGAUUUACUGGGUGUAAAGGGAGCGUAGGCGGCGAUGCAAGUCAGAAGUGAAAGCCCGGGGCUCAACUCCGGGACUGCUUUUGAAACUGUAUGGCUAGAUUGCAGGAGAG